GUGAGCUUUGAUAAAAUAGAAGCAUACUUGGAAAGACAUUUUAACGUAAAUUGCAUCAACCCUAUGUAUGAAUAUGAUUACUCAAUUGGGAUGAUGUUAACAAUAUUGUGCAGUAUAGUUCAGCAAAAGUUCAAUUACUCUUCUAAUAUCAUGUGCUUUAAUGUUUUUAAUGAUUGAUGCAUAGUGGCUGACUGAUGAGACUGUUCUUAGUGAUUUAUAUAAAGUAAAUGAAGUUCUUCAGUGAGCCAGCGUGGUGAAAUUGCAUGCUUUUUAUCCUAGUGGUAGAGUGGGUUGCCAAGAAAGUGUUUCUCAUGCAGGAUCCACGGCUUAAACUUUUGAUCUUUUUUGUUGCUAGUUGAAUUUUGUAUUGAUUUUAUUUUUUGUAAACAUUCUGCCUAUUAAUAGGUUCAGAUGAGGUCAAAUCUUAAUGUGUUAAAAAGAUGUGCAUUAUGUUCUCAAAAAAAAUAAAAAGCGAGAAAAAGAAGUGAGAUUAAUAGAAAAGAGUUGUCCCUUUUCUGCUGCAUUGUAUUAUUCAUUUGUAGCGAAGCUACAUGUUUCAUAUAUUUUCCAGAAUUCAAAAUUUCCAUGCUUAUAUGUUUGAUAAUUGAUGAAAUGAUGUAAUCCAGAGCCAAACUCAUAGCUUUGAAGAUUGAGGUGAACUAGCUAAGCAUGAAAAGAGUAAGGAAGGAGACAAUCUCAAUUAUUAAUUGUUUCGUCUGUUUUACUUACUUCUAGCCUCUAGGUAUUUCCCAUUUCUACUGCUACUUCUAUGAAUGGAUGUUGUACAAAAUGGAUUGCUCAUGUGGUUAUGCUAUUUCCCCUAUUGAAUUUAUAUGGUUUUCCAGCUAAAAUUUAACUAGUUAAGUUCUCACAGCAGAUAAUAUUUUAGAUGCUAGUUAGACAUCCUUCUACACUCCAUGGAGUGAUAUGUACCUUGGAGGUUAAUCUCAAAUGCACUUUGCACCCUAAUGAGCUGUUGUUUGCUACACCCUUCUUUGGAGGAUUGCUGUAUUGAGUAGCCCACAUAUGUUGAAGACAAUGGAUCAACUACCUUUCACCAUUUAUAUCAUGAGAUAAUUUUCCUCCUUUUCUGAUCAUAAUGCCAAUUAUCAACUUUUUUUUCCCUGGACACAAGUAAUGUUACAUUUUAGUCUAUUGUCACUUGACCUGUAGGGCGUACAAACACU
This 1187-nucleotide long non-coding RNA is filed under the name Solanum tuberosum (potato). RNAcentral's name for it is "long non-coding RNA (STUB_LNC005894)". Lineage: Eukaryota; Viridiplantae; Streptophyta; Magnoliopsida; Solanales; Solanaceae. The record is from RNAcentral.